GAUGAACGCUGGCGGCGUGCCUAAUACAUGCAAGUAGAACGCUGAAGGAAGGAGCUUGCUCUUUCCGGAUGAGUUGCGAACGGGUGAGUAACGCGUAGGUAACCUGCCUGGUAGCGGGGGAUAACUAUUGGAAACGAUAGCUAAUACCGCAUAACAGUAGAUGUUGCAUGAUAUCUACUUAAAAGGUGCAAUUGCACCACUACCAGAUGGACCUGCGUUGUAUUAGCUAGUUGGUGAGGUAACGGCUCACCAAGGCGACGAUACAUAGCCGACCUGAGAGGGUGAUCGGCCACACUGGGACUGGGACACGGCCCAGACUCCUACGGGAGGCAGCAGUAGGGAAUCUUCGGCAAUGGACGGAAGUCUGACCGAGCAACGCCGCGUGAGUGAAGAAGGUUUUCGGAUCGUAAAGCUCUGUUGUAAGAGAAGAACGAGUGUGAGAGUGGAAAGUUCACACUGUGACGGUAUCUUACCAGAAAGGGACGGCUAACUACGU
RNAcentral lists this ribosomal RNA (496 nucleotides) under uncultured bacterium. Its description in RNAcentral is "partial 16S ribosomal RNA". It matches the Rfam family "Bacterial small subunit ribosomal RNA", at positions 28 to 506 of the family's 1533-position model. The record is from RNAcentral.